AGAUUUUGUCAUCUGUAAAUAGAGACAGUUUUACAUUUUCCUUUAUAAUCUGAUGCCUUUUAUUUAUUUAUUUUUCUUUCUUUCUUUUUUUAUCUUUUUAUUAUACUUUAAAUUCUAGGGUACAUGUGCACAAUGUGCAGGUUUGUUACAUAUGUAUACUUGUGAGAUCUUGGUGUGCUGCACCCAUCCACUCGUCAGCACCCAUCAACUCGUCAUUUACAUCAGGUAUAACUCCCAAUGCAAUCCCUCCUCCCUCAUCCUCCCCCUUCCCCAUGAUAGGCCCCGAUGUGUGAUGUUCCCCUUCCCGAGUCCAAGUGAUCUCAUUGUUCAGUUCCCACCUAUGAGUGAGAACAUGUGGUGUUUGGUUUUUUGUUCUUGCGAUAGUUUGCUAAGAAUGAUGGUUUCCAGCUGCAUCCAUGUCCCUACUUUUAUGGCUGCAUAGUAUUCCAUGGUGUAUAUGUGCCACAUUUUCUUAAUCUAGUCUGUCACUGAUGGACAUUUGGGUUGAUUCCAAGUCUUUGCUAUUGUGAAUAGUGCCGCAAUAAACAUGCGUGUGCAUGUGUCUUUGUAGCAGCAUGAUUUAUAAUCCUUUGGGUAUAUACCCAGUAAUGGGAUGGCUGGGUCAUAUGGUACUUCUAGUUCUAGAUCCUUGAGGAAUCACCAUACUGUUUUCCAUAAUGGUUGAACUAGUUUACAAUCCCACCAACAGUGUAAAAGUGUUCCUAUUUCUCCACAUCCUCUCCAGCACCUGUUGUUUCCUGACUUUUUAAUGAUUGCCAUUCUAACUGGUGUGAGAUAGUAUCUCAUUGUGGUUUUGAUUUGCAUUUCUCUGAUGGCCAGUGAUGAUGAGCAUUUUUUCAUGUGUCUGUUGGCUGUAUGAAUGUCUUCUUUUGAGAAAAUGUCUGUACAUAUUCUUUGCCCACUUUUUGAUGGGGUUGUUUGUUUUUUUCUUGUAAAUUUGUUUGAGUUCUUUGUAAGUUCUGGAUAUUAGCCCUUGGUCUGAUGAGUAGAUUGCAAAAAUUUUCUCCCAUUCUGUAGGUUGCCUGUUCACUCUGAUGGUAGUUUCUUUUGCUGUGCAGAAGCUCUUUAGUUUAAUGAGAUCCCAUUUGUCAAUUUUGGCUUUUGUUGCCGUUGCUUUUGGUGUUUUAGACAUGAAGUCCUUGCCCAUGCCUAUGUCCUGAAUGGUAUUACCUAGGUUUUCUUCUAGGGUUUUUAUGGUAUUAGGUCUAACAUUUAAGUCUUUAAUCCAUCUUGAAUUAAUUUUCGUAUAAGGAGUAAGGAAAGGAUCCAGUUUCAGCUUUCUACGUAUGGCUAGCCAAUUUUCCCAGCACCAUUUAUUAAAUAGGGAAUCCUUUCCCCAUUUCUUGCUUUUGUCAGGUUUGUCAAAGAUCAGAUGGCUGUAGAUGUGUGGUAUUAUUUCUGAGGGCUCUGUUCUAUUCCAUUGGUCUAUAUGUCUGUUUUGGUACCAGUAUCAUGCUGUUUUGGUUACUGUAGCCUUGUAGUAGAGUUUGAAGUCAGGUAGUGUGAUGCCUCCAGCUUUGUUCUUUUGACUUAGGAUUGUCUUGGCAAUGUGGGCUCUUUUUUGGUUGCAUAUGAACUUUAAAGCAGUUUUUUCCAAUUCUGUGAAGAAACUCAUUGGUAGUUUGAUGGGGAUGGCAUUGAAUCUAUAAAUUACCUUGGGCAAUAUGGCAAUUUUCAUGAUAUUGAUUCUUCCUAUCCAUGAGCAUGGAAUGUUCUUCCAUUUGUUUGUGUCCUCUUUUAUUUCACUGAGCAGUGGUUUGUAGUUCUCCUUGAAGAGGUCCUUUACAUCCCUUGUAAGUUGGAUUCCUAGGUAUUUUAUUCUCUUUGAAGCAA
This 1854-nucleotide long non-coding RNA is filed under the name Papio anubis (olive baboon). Its description in RNAcentral is "lncRNA (ENSPANG00000039791.1)". Lineage: Eukaryota; Metazoa; Chordata; Mammalia; Primates; Cercopithecidae. The record is from RNAcentral.